This 253-nucleotide ribosomal RNA is filed under the name uncultured bacterium. RNAcentral's name for it is "partial 16S ribosomal RNA". It matches the Rfam family "Bacterial small subunit ribosomal RNA", at positions 524 to 776 of the family's 1533-position model. The record is from RNAcentral.
UACGGGGGGUGCAAGCGUUGUUCGGAAUUACUGGGCGUAAAGGGCGCGUAGGCGGCCUUCUAAGUCGGACGUGAAAUCCCUCGGCUUAACCGAGGAACUGCGUCCGAUACUGGUGGGCUUGAAUCCGGGAGAGGGAUGCGGAAUUCCAGGUGUAGCGGUGAAAUGCGUAGAUAUCUGGAGGAACACCGGUGGCGAAGGCGGCAUCCUGGACCGGCAUUGACGCUGAGGCGCGAAAGCUAGGGGAGCAAACGGG